AAAUUGAAGAGUUUGAUCAUGGCUCAGAUUGAACGCUGGCGGCAGGCCUAACACAUGCAAGUCGAACGGUAACAGAAAGCAGCUUGCUGCUUUGCUGACGAGUGGCGGACGGGUGAGUAAUGUCUGGGAAACUGCCUGAUGGAGGGGGAUAACUACUGGAAACGGUAGCUAAUACCGCAUAAUGUCGCAAGACCAAAGAGGGGGACCUUCGGGCCUCUUGCCAUCGGAUGUGCCCAGAUGGGAUUAGCUAGUAGGUGGGGUAACGGCUCACCUAGGCGACGAUCCCUAGCUGGUCUGAGAGGAUGACCAGCCACACUGGAACUGAGACACGGUCCAGACUCCUACGGGAGGCAGCAGUGGGGAAUAUUGCACAAUGGGCGCAAGCCUGAUGCAGCCAUGCCGCGUGUAUGAAGAAGGCCUUCGGGUUGUAAAAGUACUUUCAGCGGGGAGGAAGGGAGUAAAGUUAAUACCUUUGCUCAUUGACGUUACCCGCAGAAGAAGCACCGGCUAACUCCGUGCCAGCAGCCGCGGUAAUACGGAGGGUGCAAGCGUUAAUCGGAAUUACUGGGCGUAAAGCGCACGCAGGCGGUUUGUUAAGUCAGAUGUGAAAUCCCGGGCUCAACCUGGGAACUGCAUCUGAUACUGGCAAGCUUGAGUCUCGUAGAGGGGGUAGAAUUCCAGGUGUAGCGGUGAAAUGCGUAGAGAUCUGGAGGAAUACCGGUGGCGAAGGCGGCCCCCUGGACGAAGACUGACGCUCAGGUGCGAAAGCGUGGGGAGCAAACAGGAUUAGAUACCCUGGUAGUCCACGCCGUAAACGAUGUCGACUUGGAGGUUGUGCCCUUGAGGCGUGGCUUCCGGAGCUAACGCGUUAAGUCGACCGCCUGGGGAGUACGGCCGCAAGGUUAAAACUCAAAUGAAUUGACGGGGGCCCGCACAAGCGGUGGAGCAUGUGGUUUAAUUCGAUGCAACGCGAAGAACCUUACCUGGUCUUGACAUCCACGGAAGUUUUCAGAGAUGAGAAUGUGCCUUCGGGAACCGUGAGACAGGUGCUGCAUGGCUGUCGUCAGCUCGUGUUGUGAAAUGUUGGGUUAAGUCCCGCAACGAGCGCAACCCUUAUCCUUUGUUGCCAGCGGUCCGGCCGGGAACUCAAAGGAGACUGCCAGUGAUAAACUGGAGGAAGGUGGGGAUGACGUCAAGUCAUCAUGGCCCUUACGACCAGGGCUACACACGUGCUACAAUGGCGCAUACAAAGAGAAGCGACCUCGCGAGAGCAAGCGGACCUCAUAAAGUGCGUCGUAGUCCGGAUUGGAGUCUGCAACUCGACUCCAUGAAGUCGGAAUCGCUAGUAAUCGUGGAUCAGAAUGCCACGGUGAAUACGUUCCCGGCCUUGUACACACCGCCCGUCACACCAUGGGAGUGGGUUGCAAAAGAAGUAGGUAGCUUAACCUUCGGGAGGGCGCUUACCACUUUGUGAUUCAUGACUGGGGUGAAGUCGUAACAAGGUAACCGUAGGGGAACCUGCGGUUGGAUCACCUCCUUA
This 1540-nucleotide ribosomal RNA is filed under the name Escherichia coli. RNAcentral's name for it is "bacterial SSU rRNA". It matches the Rfam family "Bacterial small subunit ribosomal RNA". The record is from RNAcentral. Lineage: Bacteria; Pseudomonadati; Pseudomonadota; Gammaproteobacteria; Enterobacterales; Enterobacteriaceae.